GAACCACGUGAUGAGAAAGGAUUUGUUUAAACUCACGACGGUCAUCUGAGACACAUGUCAGAGAUGAUUCAAUAUCCUAUCCUUCUGAUGGUU
Magnolia sinica is the source of this 93-nucleotide small nucleolar RNA. RefSeq annotates it as small nucleolar RNA Z161/Z228. The record is from RefSeq and is a predicted model, not a curated record. Lineage: Eukaryota; Viridiplantae; Streptophyta; Magnoliopsida; Magnoliales; Magnoliaceae. The transcript has a single exon.